UGCCAGCAGCCGCGGUAAUUCCAGCUCCAAUAGCGUAUAUUAAAGCUGCUGCAGUUAAAAAGCUCGUAGUUGGAUCUCGAGGCGGCCGCGACUGUUCCGGUCUGGUAAGGAAGUAGCCUCGCGUUGCUUUCUCUCCUGUAUCGGCUGUCGCGCGCUACCCCCACGAGUGUCGGCUCUCUCCCGUGACCGCUCUUCACUGAACGGUCCGGGCGGCCGACCAUUUACUUUGAAAAAAUUAGAGUGUUCAAAGCAGGCCUGAUGUGCCUGGAUAGCCGCGCAUGGAAUAAUAGAACAUGACUGCCGUCUCAUUCCUAACGGCCGGUCUCAGAGACGGAGGUAAUGAUUGAGAGGGACGGACGGGGGCAUUCGUACCGCGGUGGGAGAGGUGAAAUUCGAUGAUCGUCGCGAGACGGACCAGAGCGAAAGCAUUUGUCAAGAGCGUUUUCUUUAAUCAA
This 455-nucleotide ribosomal RNA is filed under the name Coryphella verrucosa. Its description in RNAcentral is "SSU rRNA". It matches the Rfam family "Eukaryotic small subunit ribosomal RNA", at positions 565 to 980 of the family's 1831-position model. Lineage: Eukaryota; Metazoa; Mollusca; Gastropoda; Nudibranchia; Coryphellidae. The record is from RNAcentral.